UACUCCCCCUCAGCCACCGCCUCCUCCUCCACCAGCACCACUCCCUCCGGGGCACCCCGGUCCCUGCAGAGUCCCUGGCCGGCGCCGCCUCCGCUGCGGCCCCCUGAAUCCCGAGCCUGCCUCGCCCAAGCUGGUAGGACAGAAGGACAGACAGAUUCCUCUAGCCUAGCGCUCCGCCGCUGCUGCCUUACGCGGCCCCGCGUCGGGAGAACUGGGAUCGCCCCAAGAGCACCGCGAGGGAACAGAACAAUAGUAUGCUCUCAAUAAAUAAGGAUGAACGCAUGAUUGAAAUAGUUUAAAAAUCAAGACCCGGAAAACUGAAGCUUAAAAAGGAAGAGAAGGACAUCAGAAAGUUGAUGGGUCAUCUCAGGCUGGCUGCAUGCCUCAGCUGAAGAUCCCAGCUCCUGUCAAUGCCACCUCUCUGCUUGACUGUCUCCUUCCAGAUUCGAGCAGGUAUGAGCUGGGAAGAAUGAAGGCAGGGCAUGCCCGUGUGCCAGCUCUGCACAGCUGGAUAGCUGAGGAAAGAUGUGGAGGAGAAGCCGGGGAUUGUGUGGAAGUCUAAGGGUGUUGUUUGCCCUUUGGGUUCCAGAAGAUGCAUGCCAGGACCCUGGGUGGCACUGCCAGGAAGCAACAGAGAGGAGAUAAAACUCACAGCAGACAGACUUGCCUUAACAACAACUCCCUUGAAUUAAAACACGCUUUUCAAGAAAACAAAUUAUCAGUUCGAUCAGCAAACAGCAGAGAAGUUUCUCUCAUAAUGGCAAAGAAGGGCCGGGUUGCUGACCAGUGAAAGAGCUUCAGAAAAGGAGAGGGGAGAUGAGAUGGCCAGAAGGAGCAAGAGCACCGUACAUCCCUGGACAACCUCAUUCUAAUGCUGAUUCCUUGAUUCCAGAUUUCUGACCUCCAGAAGCAUGGGAGAACAGAUUUCCCUUGUUUGAAGGCACCCAGUCUGUGGUCCUUCAUCAUGGCAGCCCUCAGGAAUGGAUACAGGCCCUUCCCUGCCUGCCUGGUGGAGCAGCCUCCAAGGGGAGCCUUUGCUAGCAGGAAGAGGCAUCGCAUGGAGCUCAGACCCGCCUCAGAGGAACUUCUCUCAGCCUCCUCUCUCCGCACACCCGACCAAUUUGUUUUUGGUUAUCCUGGAGGUUUUGUGGAUUAAGAUGUGUGAGAUGAGGGGUUUAUAGGGACUGGCUGGAGGUAUGCCCCCCCUUCCACCCACACACCCACACACACAUACACACGCACACGCUGUUGUGCAGAAGAUGUUUCUUGGGUGGCUGAGCAAAGAAUCAGGUAUUUGGAUGUCCUGAUUUGACCCUGAGAAAAAUAGCAGCCAUCCACAGAGCUCUGAAACAUACUUCCCACUGCUUGGAAUGGCAGCUCCUCCUCAGGAUACAAGCAAGGAAACGUGUGGCAUCUGGCUACCAUGAGCUGAAGACAAAGCCUACAUGGGGAAAAGUGCAAAACCAGGAGAAUGGGAGAGAAAUGGAGCCACGCACUGAUGCUGUUGUGAAACAUCUCAAUCAAACUGCACCUGAAGACCGCCCUAUCCCUGCAUUUUUCAUUUACAUGAGCCAAUAAACUCUCUCAUUUAAGUCA
RNAcentral lists this long non-coding RNA (1596 nucleotides) under Homo sapiens (human). Its description in RNAcentral is "long non-coding RNA NONHSAT157556.1". Lineage: Eukaryota; Metazoa; Chordata; Mammalia; Primates; Hominidae. The record is from RNAcentral.